AUUGUAAACAUUUAUGCUAUUUAGCAGAGAUCAACUAUCUCUGUACAGCUGUAUUAAUUAGAGAUUGACGCCAAGUGCCAAUGCCACUUACAAUGCAGAUGCAAAACUUUACUGUGCAAUUUGUGGAUGCUAGGCAAGGGAUGUCCACUAGAUUGAUGUCUCAUUCUGAACACAAAGAGAAUUUCUUGGAAAAUUGAUACCUAUUGACUUGAAGGAUCCA
This 220-nucleotide unclassified non-coding RNA is filed under the name Hevea brasiliensis (rubber tree). The record is from RNAcentral. Lineage: Eukaryota; Viridiplantae; Streptophyta; Magnoliopsida; Malpighiales; Euphorbiaceae.